CUACCAAAAUCAACUUAGAUUCAAAGUAAUAAGUCGGAUUCACUAGGUUCAUAAAUCAUAUAGAGAGAGAAUAUCAAAGGAGAGAGAAAUCGAUAAGAUAGAAUAUGGCUAAUCAGAUGAUACUGCACGGCAAUACGAUCGGUCUAAUCAAAAUGAUUUAAUUAAAUCAUGGUUAAAUUAAUGUAUAAAUAGUUCAAUAAAAAUCACAAAUAAUCAAAUCUAAUAGUAUCUAGAUCUAACCAAGAUGGGUGUCGGCAUGCUACCCG
RNAcentral lists this long non-coding RNA (266 nucleotides) under Elaeis guineensis (African oil palm). RNAcentral's name for it is "long non-coding RNA (EGUI_LNC039296)". Lineage: Eukaryota; Viridiplantae; Streptophyta; Magnoliopsida; Arecales; Arecaceae. The record is from RNAcentral.